This 588-nucleotide ribosomal RNA is filed under the name Escherichia coli. RNAcentral's name for it is "bacterial SSU rRNA". It matches the Rfam family "Bacterial small subunit ribosomal RNA", at positions 199 to 782 of the family's 1533-position model. The record is from RNAcentral. Lineage: Bacteria; Pseudomonadati; Pseudomonadota; Gammaproteobacteria; Enterobacterales; Enterobacteriaceae.
ACCUUCGGGCCUCUUGCCAUCGGAUGUGCCCAGAUGGGAUUAGCUAGUAGGUGGGGUAAAGGCUCACCUAGGCGACGAUCCCUAGCUGGUCUGAGAGGAUGACCAGCCACACUGGAACUGAGACACGGUCCAGACUCCUACGGGAGGCAGCAGUGGGGAAUAUUGCACAAUGGGCGCAAGCCUGAUGCAGCCAUGCCGCGUGUAUGAAGAAGGCCUUCGGGUUGUAAAGUACUUUCAGCGGGGAGGAAGGGAGUAAAGUUAAUACCUUUGCUCAUUGACGUUACCCGCAGAAGAAGCACCGGCUAACUCCGUGCCAGCAGCCGCGGUAAUACGGAGGGUGCAAGCGUUAAUCGGAAUUACUGGGCGUAAAGCGCACGCAGGCGGUUUGUUAAGUCAGAUGUGAAAUCCCCGGGCUCAACCUGGGAACUGCAUCUGAUACUGGCAAGCUUGAGUCUCGUAGAGGGGGGUAGAAUUCCAGGUGUAGCGGUGAAAUGCGUAGAGAUCUGGAGGAAUACCGGUGGCGAAGGCGGCCCCCUGGACGAAGACUGACGCUCAGGUGCGAAAGCGUGGGGAGCAAACAGGAUUAGA